CUCAGACUCGUACCGCCGCCAACAGAGACCCCCUUGCCAGGGACCCGGAUUCCUGGUUCCCACGCAGGCCUCACGGCCUUGCAGCAGCCUCAGGGCAUAGUCUCCACAGGGAACAAUCUCAUCUCUCUGAAGUCAACUCAUGAAAGUUCUACUUGAUCCAUUUCUGCAAACAUCUGCUGUUCCCUACCACCAGGGUCACACGAGGCAGAACACCAACCAGCCGAGAAAACGGGAACGAAGAGGAGAAGCUGUGAUGCGGGAACAU
Manis pentadactyla (Chinese pangolin) is the source of this 265-nucleotide long non-coding RNA. RefSeq lists it as uncharacterized. NCBI's taxonomy places the organism in Eukaryota, Metazoa, Chordata, Mammalia, Pholidota, Manidae. The transcript is spliced from 3 exons. The record is from RefSeq and is a predicted model, not a curated record.